GACGAACGCUGGCGGCGUGCCUAAUACAUGCAAGUCGAGCGGAACUGGGGGAGCUUGCUCCUUCCAGUUUAGCGGCGGACGGGUGAGUAACACGUGGGCAACCUGCCCUGCAGAUCGGGAUAACUCCGGGAAACCGGUGCUAAUACCGAAUAGUUUGGCGCCUCUCCUGAGGCGCUACGGAAAGACGGUUUCGGCUGUAACUGCAGGAUGGGCCCGCGGCGCAGUAGCUAGUUGGUGGGGUAACGGCGCACCAAGGCGACGAUGCGUAGCCGACCUGGGAGGGUGACCGGCCACACUGGGACUGAGACACGGCCCAGACUCCUACGGGAGGCAGCAGUAGGGAAUCUUCCGCAAUGGACGCAAGUCUGACGGAGCAACGCCGCGUGAGUGACGAAGGUUUUCGGAUCGUAAAACUCUGUUGUGAGGGAAGAACACGUACCAACUAACUAUUGGUACCUUGACGGUACCUCACCAGAAAGCCACGGCUAACUACGUGCCAGCCGCCGCAGUAA
This 512-nucleotide ribosomal RNA is filed under the name uncultured bacterium. RNAcentral describes it as "partial 16S ribosomal RNA". It matches the Rfam family "Bacterial small subunit ribosomal RNA", at positions 28 to 523 of the family's 1533-position model. The record is from RNAcentral.